RNAcentral lists this ribosomal RNA (521 nucleotides) under uncultured delta proteobacterium. Its description in RNAcentral is "bacterial SSU rRNA". It matches the Rfam family "Bacterial small subunit ribosomal RNA", at positions 1 to 523 of the family's 1533-position model. The record is from RNAcentral. Lineage: Bacteria; Deltaproteobacteria.
UAGAGUUUGAUCCUGGCUCAGAACGAACGCUGGCGGCGUGCCUAACACAUGCAAGUCGAGCGCUUUCUAAGGGUUUCGGCCCCUUUAGGGGAGCGGGCAGACGGGUGAGUAACACGUGGGUAACCUGCCCCUGAGUGGGGGAUAACUACUCGAAAGGGUGGCUAAUACCGCAUAAGACCACGACCUUGCGGGGUUGCGGUCAAAGGCGCAAGCCGCUUGGGGAGGGGGCCCGCGUCCGAUUAGCUAGUUGGUGAGGUAACGGCCCACCAAGGCGACGAUCGGUAGCUGGUCUGAGAGGAUGAUCAGCCACACUGGUACUGAGACACGGACCAGACUCCUACGGGAGGCAGCAGUGGGGAAUAUUGCGCAAUGGGCGAAAGCCUGACGCAGCAACGCCGCGUGGGUGAUGAAGGCCUUCGGGUCGUAAAGCCCUGUCAGAUGGGAAGAAACCUCUCCGUGAGGGGAGCUGACGGUACCAUCGAAGGAAGCACCGGCUAACUCCGUGCCAGCAGCCGCGGUAA